UACGGGGGGGGCAAGCGUUGUUCGGAAUUACUGGGCGUAAAGGGCUCGUAGGUGGCCAACUAAGUCAGACGUGAAAUCCCCAGGCUCAACUUGGGAACUGCGUCCGAUACUGGUGGGCUCGAAUCCGGGAGAGGGAUGUGGAAUUCCAGGUGUAGCGGUGAAAUGCGUAGAUAUCGGGAGGAACACCAGUGGCGAAAGCGGCGCUCUGGGCCUAAACUGACGCUGAGGGGCGAAAGCGUGGGGAGCGAACGGG
Molecule: ribosomal RNA, 253 nt
Filed under: uncultured bacterium
Lineage: Bacteria
Description: partial 16S ribosomal RNA
Rfam family: Bacterial small subunit ribosomal RNA
Source: RNAcentral